RNAcentral lists this ribosomal RNA (114 nucleotides) under Streptococcus pasteurianus. RNAcentral also lists the same sequence under 5 other names. Lineage: Bacteria; Bacillati; Bacillota; Bacilli; Lactobacillales; Streptococcaceae. The record is from RNAcentral.
AGUGAUGAUAGCCUAGGAGAUACACCUGUUCCCAUGCCGAACACAGCAGUUAAGCCCUAGAACGCCUGAAGUAGUUGGGGGUUGCCCCCUGUUAGAUAUGGUAGUCGCUUAGCU